This 484-nucleotide ribosomal RNA is filed under the name uncultured bacterium. Its description in RNAcentral is "partial 16S ribosomal RNA". It matches the Rfam family "Bacterial small subunit ribosomal RNA", at positions 28 to 507 of the family's 1533-position model. The record is from RNAcentral.
AUUGAACGCUGGCGGCGUGCUUUACACAUGCAAGUCGAACGGCAGCGCGGGCUUCGGCCUGGCGGCGAGUGGCGAACGGGUGAGUAAUGCAUCGGAACGUGCCCAGUAGUGGGGGAUAGCCCGGCGAAAGCCGGAUUAAUACCGCAUACGACCUGAGGGUGAAAGCGGGGGACCGAAAGGCCUCGCGCUAUUGGAGCGGCCGAUGUCGGAUUAGCUAGUUGGUGGGGUAAAGGCUUACCAAGGCGACGAUCCGUAGCUGGUCUGAGAGGACGACCAGCCACACUGGGACUGAGACACGGCCCAGACUCCUACGGGAGGCAGCAGUGGGGAAUUUUGGACAAUGGGGGCAACCCUGAUCCAGCCAUGCCGCGUGCGGGAAGAAGGCCUUCGGGUUGUAAACCGCUUUUGUUCGGGAAGAAAUCCUCUGGGCUAAUACCCCGAGGGGAUGACGGUACCGGAAGAAUAAGCACCGGCUAACUACGUG